Molecule: ribosomal RNA, 243 nt
Filed under: uncultured bacterium
Lineage: Bacteria
Description: partial 16S ribosomal RNA
Rfam family: Bacterial small subunit ribosomal RNA
Source: RNAcentral
GCUAGCGUUGCUCGGAAUCACUGGGCGUAAAGCGCACGUAGGCGGAUUGUUAAGUCAGGGGUGAAAUCCUGGAGCUCAACUCCAGAACUGCCUUUGAUACUGGCGAUCUUGAGUCCGGGAGAGGUGAGUGGAACUGCGAGUGUAGAGGUGAAAUUCGUAGAUAUUCGCAAGAACACCAGUGGCGAAGGCGGCUCACUGGCCCGGUACUGACGCUGAGGUGCGAAAGCGUGGGGAGCAAACAGG